Molecule: ribosomal RNA, 468 nt
Filed under: uncultured bacterium
Lineage: Bacteria
Description: partial 16S ribosomal RNA
Rfam family: Bacterial small subunit ribosomal RNA
Source: RNAcentral
GACGAACGCUGGCGGCGUGCUUAACACAUGCAAGUCGAACGGAAAGGCCCUGCGUUUGUGGGGUGCUCGAUUGGCGAACGGGUGAGUAACACGUGAGUAACCUGCCCUUGACUUUGGGAUAACUUCAGGAAACUGGGGCUAAUACCGGAUAGGAGCUCCUGCUGCAUGGUGGGGGUUGGAAAGUUUCGGCGGUUGGGGAUGGACUCGCGGCUUAUCAGCUUGUUGGUGGGGUAGUGGCUUACCAAGGCUUUGACGGGUAGCCGGCCUGAGAGGGUGACCGGCCACAUUGGGACUGAGAUACGGCCCAGACUCCUACGGGAGGCAGCAGUGGGGAAUAUUGCACAAUGGGCGGGAGCCUGAUGCAGCAACGCCGCGUGCGGGAUGACGGCCUUCGGGUUGUAAACCGCUUUCGCCUGAGACGAAGCGUGAGUGACGGUAAUGGGUAAAGAAGCACCGGCUAACUACGUG